UUGAUCCUGGCUCAGAAUGAACGCUGGCGGCGUGCUUAACACAUGCAAGUCGAACGAGAAAUCUUUAGCUUGCUAGAGAAAGUAAAGUGGCGCACGGGUGAGUAACGCGUGGGUAAUCUGCCUCCGAAUCGGGGAUAACAUUGCGAAAGCGAUGCUAAUACCGGAUAAAAUCUGGUUGGCUUCGGUGAACCGGAUCAAAGGUGGUCUCUUUAUAAAAGCUACCGUUUGGAGAUGAGCUCGCGUACCAUUAGCUAGUUGGUGAGGUAAAGGCUCACCAAGGCGACGAUGGUUAGCUGGUCUGAGAGGAUGAUCAGCCACACCGGAACUGGAACACGGUCCGGACUCCUACGGGAGGCAGCAGUGAGGAAUUUUGCGCAAUGGGGGAAACCCUGACGCAGCAACGCCGCGUGAGUGAUGAAGGCUUUCGGGUCGUAAAGCUCUGUCAGGUGGGAAGAACCCACCAAGUGUUAAGACCACUUGGUGCUGACGGUACCACCGAAGGAAGCACCGGCUAACUCCGUGCCAGCAGCCGCGGUAAUACGGGGGGUGCGAGCGUUAUUCGGAAUCAUUGGGCGUAAAGGGCGCGCAGGCGGUUUUGUAAGUCAGAUGUGAAAUCCCGGGGCUUAACCCCGGAAGUGCAUAUGAAACUAUGAGACUUGAGUAUGGGAGAGGGAAGCGGAAUUCCUGGUGUAGCGGUGAAAUGCGUAGAUAUCAGGAGGAACACCGGUGGCGAAGGCGGCUUCCUGGACCAAUACUGACGCUGAGGCGCGAAGGCGUGGGGAGCGAACAGGAUUAGAUACCCUGGUAGUCCACGCAGUAAACGUUGAUCACUAGGUGUAGCGGGUAUUGACCCCUGCUGUGCCG
Molecule: ribosomal RNA, 864 nt
Filed under: uncultured organism
Description: bacterial SSU rRNA
Rfam family: Bacterial small subunit ribosomal RNA
Source: RNAcentral